AUCCGUUUAAAACCACGACAGUCUGUUUCAUCCGUUUUGACUACCUGAUCAUUCCUGUAUACGGAUGAAACAGACUGUUGUGGUUUUU
Paramuricea clavata is the source of this 88-nucleotide non-coding RNA. The record is from the annotation of a GenBank genome assembly. NCBI's taxonomy places the organism in Eukaryota, Metazoa, Cnidaria, Anthozoa, Malacalcyonacea, Plexauridae.